UACAGAGGGUGCAAGCGUUGUUCGGAAUUACUGGGCGUAAAGCGCGCGCAGGCGGUCCUUUAAGUCAGGGGUGAAAGCCCAGAGCUCAACUCUGGAACUGCCUUUGAAACUAGAGGACUUGGGUACGGGAGAGGUGAGUGGAAUUCCGAGUGUAGAGGUGAAAUUCGUAGAUAUUCGGAAGAACACCAGUGGCGAAGGCGGCUCACUGGCCCGUUACCGACGCUCAGGCGCGACAGCGUGGGGAGCAAACAGG
Molecule: ribosomal RNA, 253 nt
Filed under: uncultured bacterium
Lineage: Bacteria
Description: partial 16S ribosomal RNA
Rfam family: Bacterial small subunit ribosomal RNA
Source: RNAcentral